This 253-nucleotide ribosomal RNA is filed under the name uncultured bacterium. RNAcentral describes it as "partial 16S ribosomal RNA". It matches the Rfam family "Bacterial small subunit ribosomal RNA", at positions 524 to 776 of the family's 1533-position model. The record is from RNAcentral.
GACAGAGGGGGCAAGCGUUGCUCGGAAUCACUGGGCGUAAAGGGCGCGUAGGCGGGAUGGCAAGUCAGUCGUGAAAUCUCUCGGCUCAACCGAGAAACGUCGGCUGAUACUGCCGUUCUUGAGGGAUGCAGAGGAGACUGGAAUUCCCGGUGUAGCGGUGAAAUGUGUAGAGAUCGGGAGGAACACCGGUGGCGAAGGCGGGUCUCUGGGCAUCUCCUGACGCUGAGGCACGAAGGCGUGGGGAGCGAACGGG